GUAGUGAACCGCUGCGGCGUGUCUAAUACAUGUAGUCGAACGGACUGCAGCGAUGUAGUGAGUGGCGAACGGGUGAGUAGCGCGUGGGUGACCUGCCCCGAAGCGGGGGAUAACAGUUCGAAAGGGCUGCUAAUACCGCAUGAGUUCAUGGGCGUUAGAGAACCAUGAAAAAAGGAGCAAUCCACUUUGGGAGGGACCUGCGACCCAUCAGCUAGUUGGUAAGGUAACGGCCUACCAAGGCGACGACGGGUAGGGGACCUGAGAGGGUGGCCCCCCACACUGGCACUGAAACACGGGCCAGACACCUACGGGUGGCAGCAGUAGGGAAUAUCGCACAAUGGGCGCAAGCCUGAUGCAGCAACGCCGCGUGCGCGAUGAAGGCCUUCGGGUCGUAAAGCGCUUUUCUGGAGGAGGAGGAAGGACCGUACUCCAGGAAUAAGUCUCGGCUAACUACGUGCCAGCAGCCGCGGUAAAACGUAGGAGACAAGCGUUAUCCGAAUUUACUGGGCGUAAAGCGCGUGCAGGUGGUUAGGUAAGUGGAAUGUGAAAUCUCCUGGCUCAACUGGGAGAGGCUGUUCCAAACUGCCUGGCUAGAGGGCGGUAGAGGGAGGUGGAAUUCCCGGUGUAGUGGUGAAAUGCGUAGAUAUCGGGAGGAACACCUGUGGCGAAAGCGGCCUCCUGGGCCGCACCUGACGCUCAGACGCGAAAGCUAGGGGAGUGAACGGGAUUAGAAACCCCGGUAAUCCUAGCUGUAAACGAUGUGGACUGGUGUCGGUGGGGUAAAAGCCAUCGGUGCCGAAGCCAACGCGAUAAGUCCACCGCCUGGGGACUACGGCCGCAAGGUUA
This 846-nucleotide ribosomal RNA is filed under the name uncultured bacterium. RNAcentral's name for it is "bacterial SSU rRNA". It matches the Rfam family "Bacterial small subunit ribosomal RNA", at positions 24 to 896 of the family's 1533-position model. The record is from RNAcentral.